AGCGAACGCUGGCGGCAGGCCUAAAACAUGCAAGUCGAACGAAGCCUUCGGGCUUAGUGGCGGACGGGUGAGUAACACGUGGGAACGUACCUUUAGGUUCGGAACAACUCAGGGAAACUUGAGCUAAUACCGGAUAAGCCCUUCGGGGGAAAGAUUUAUCGCCUUUAGAGCGGCCCGCGUUAGAUUAGCUAGUUGGUGAGGUAAAGGCUCACCAAGGCUACGAUCUAUAGCUGGUCUGAGAGGAUGAUCAGCCACACUGGGACUGAGACACGGCCCAGACUCCUACGGGAGGCAGCAGUGGGGAAUCUUGCGCAAUGGGCGAAGGCCUGACGCAGCCAUGCCGCGUGAAUGAUGAAGGUCUUAGGAUUGUAAAAUUCUUUUACCAGGGACGAUAAUGACGGUACCUGGAGAAAAAGCCCCGGCUAACUUCGUGCCAGCAGCCGCCGUAA
This 449-nucleotide ribosomal RNA is filed under the name uncultured bacterium. RNAcentral's name for it is "partial 16S ribosomal RNA". It matches the Rfam family "Bacterial small subunit ribosomal RNA", at positions 29 to 523 of the family's 1533-position model. The record is from RNAcentral.